This 466-nucleotide ribosomal RNA is filed under the name uncultured bacterium. RNAcentral's name for it is "partial 16S ribosomal RNA". It matches the Rfam family "Bacterial small subunit ribosomal RNA", at positions 28 to 507 of the family's 1533-position model. The record is from RNAcentral.
GAUGAACGCUGGCGGCGUGCUUAACACAUGCAAGUCGAACGGAAAGGCCCAAGCUUGCUUGGGUACUCGAGUGGCGAACGGGUGAGUAACACGUGGGUGAUCUGCCCUUCACUUCGGGAUAAGCCUGGGAAACUGGGUCUAAUACCGGAUAGGACCUCAUGUUGCAUGGUGUGGUGGAAAGUUUUUCGGUGUGGGAUGAGCUCGCGGCCUAUUGGCUUGUUGGUGGGGUAAUGGCCUACCAAGGCGUCGACGGGUAGCCGGCCUGGGAGGGUGUACGGCCACCUUGGGACUGAGGUACGGCCCCGGCUCCUACGGGGGGGCGCAGGGGGGAAUAUUGCCCAAGGGGCGCAAGGCUGAUGCAGCGACGCCGCGGGGGGGAAGACGGCCUUCGGGUUGUAAACUCCUUUCGCUAGGGACGAAGCGUUAUGUGACGGUACCUGGAGAAGAAGCACCGGCUAACUACGUG